GGGCCCGCACAAGCGGUGGAGCAUGUGGUUUAAUUCGACGCAACGCGCAGAACCUUACCAGCCCUUGACAUGUGGAGUUUGGUUAUCAGAGAUGAUUUCCUUCAGUUCGGCUGGCUCCAACACAGGUGCUGCAUGGCUGUCGUCAGCUCGUGUCGUGAGAUGUUGGUUAAGUCCCGCAACGAGCGCAACCCUCAUCUUUAGUUGCCAUCAGUUCGGCUGGGCACUCUAGAGAAACUGCCUGGGAUGACCAGGAGGAAGGCGAGGAUGACGUCAAGUCCUCAUGGCCCUUAUGGGCUGGGCUACACACGUGCUACAAUGGCGGUGACAAAGGGACGCAAUAGGGCAACCUGGAGCAAA
This 357-nucleotide ribosomal RNA is filed under the name uncultured bacterium. RNAcentral describes it as "bacterial SSU rRNA". It matches the Rfam family "Bacterial small subunit ribosomal RNA", at positions 917 to 1271 of the family's 1533-position model. The record is from RNAcentral.